UACAGAGGGUGCGAGCGUUGUCCGGAAUCACUGGGCGUAAAGGGCGCGUAGGUGGCGACCCAAGUCGAUGGUGAAAGCUCGCCGCUCAACGGCGAGUCGGCCACCGAUACUGGGUUGCUGGAGCACUGUAGAGGCAGAUGGAAUUCCGGGUGUAGCGGUGGAAUGCGUAGAGAUCCGGAAGAACACCGGUGGCGAAGGCGGUCUGCUGGGCAGUUGCUGACACUGAGGCGCGACAGCGUGGGGGAGCAAACAGGG
This 255-nucleotide ribosomal RNA is filed under the name uncultured bacterium. Its description in RNAcentral is "partial 16S ribosomal RNA". It matches the Rfam family "Bacterial small subunit ribosomal RNA", at positions 524 to 777 of the family's 1533-position model. The record is from RNAcentral.